Molecule: long non-coding RNA, 371 nt
Organism: Sander lucioperca (pikeperch)
Lineage: Eukaryota; Metazoa; Chordata; Actinopteri; Perciformes; Percidae
Exons: 3
Source: RefSeq, a predicted model, not a curated record
GUGAAACGGGGGAUCUGUUAGAAAUAAAUAUAAUCAGUCAAGCUGGCUGUGCUUUAUGAGAAUACAAAUUAUAGUUGAAUAAUAUUGUGUGUUUAAUGGAAAAGUACUGAGAGCUUAGUCAUGCAAAAUGAGGAAAGGAUACAGCUGUACGUGCAGAAAGCAGCACUGAUGGUGGUGGUCAGAGAGAAACAAGAGUGCAGCAACAAAGUUAAGAUCCGUUUGAUAUCAGUUUGACCAUGAAGUUACUCCUCAAUCUGUGACAGACAACAGCGCAUUGUUCUCUCUGACCGCCAGCAUAGUUACAGUCUGCCUAGCAACUGAUGAAGAGGGAGUGUGCCAGGAGGCUGGGACUAGUCUGUGCACCAACCAGG